UACGAAGGGGGCUAGCGUUGCUCGGAAUCACUGGGCGUAAAGGGUGCGUAGGCGGGUCUUUAAGUCAGGGGUGAAAUCCUGGAGCUCAACUCCAGAACUGCCUUUGAUACUGAAGAUCUUGAGUUCGGGAGAGGUGAGUGGAACUGCGAGUGUAGAGGUGAAAUUCGUAGAUAUUCGCAAGAACACCAGUGGCGAAGGCGGGUUGCUGGGCUGACACUGACGCUGAGGCGCGAAAGCUAGGGGAGCGAACGGG
This 253-nucleotide ribosomal RNA is filed under the name uncultured bacterium. RNAcentral describes it as "partial 16S ribosomal RNA". It matches the Rfam family "Bacterial small subunit ribosomal RNA", at positions 524 to 776 of the family's 1533-position model. The record is from RNAcentral.